UACAGAGGGUGCAAGCGUUGUUCGGAAUUACUGGGCGUAAAGCGCGUGUAGGCUGCGAUGUAAGUCGGACGUGAAAGCCCUUGGCUUAACCAUGGAAUUGCAUUCGAAACUGGAGAGCUUGAGUGUGGGAGAGAUUGGUAGAAUACCUGGUGUAGUGGUGAAAUACGUAGAUAUCAGGUGGAAUACCGGUGGCGAAGGCGGCCAAUUGGCCCGACACUGACGCUGAGAUACGAAAGCGUGGGGAUCAAACAGG
This 253-nucleotide ribosomal RNA is filed under the name uncultured bacterium. RNAcentral describes it as "partial 16S ribosomal RNA". It matches the Rfam family "Bacterial small subunit ribosomal RNA", at positions 524 to 776 of the family's 1533-position model. The record is from RNAcentral.